Long non-coding RNA from Solanum dulcamara, 676 nucleotides. RefSeq lists it as uncharacterized. The record is from RefSeq and is a predicted model, not a curated record. Lineage: Eukaryota; Viridiplantae; Streptophyta; Magnoliopsida; Solanales; Solanaceae. The transcript is spliced from 3 exons.
AACAUAACAACAUUGAUUGGGUAAGAGGUGGUGUUGAUGGGAUAGAGAUUGACAUGGGCUGAUAUUUCGAAUUUCUCCAGUAGAAGAUAAAUCUCCUCUACCUCAGCCAGGUCACACAGGAGCUUACAAGAAUAAUGGUUACCUUAUGAUUUCGUGCAAAAGAGGGGUAAAUCAAAUGAGGCCUGCGGUGAGUGGCUUACUUAAGAUAAAUGUCAAUUUAGUGGUGUGUAUUGGAGUAUUUUGAUUAGAAUAACCAUUGUGAGUAAUAUAUAGCUAACAGUUUCUUAUUGGCGAUAUAUUCCUCUUGCUAAGGAGGCUAUUGCUUAUCAAUUGAUUCCUUAGUUGUGAUAUGAAAUAUUAUAUCUGAACUAGGUACAUGACGGAAACAUGGUUGGUGCUUUUCUAUUGUGUCUCAGUUUCAAAUUUUAGUCAACCUACUUCUUAGUUAGUAAGGUAUGCAACUGGUAUGUCAAUUUCUUGUCAUCUGACCAUCUGCUCUAUAUGUGUACAAUGGGAUAUUCUUUUAAAUGGAGAGCUUGUUCAAGGAAUGACAUAUGGCAAAUGGUCGUGAUCCAGGAAGCUGACACAAUUUGCUUAAGGGGAAAAAUAGUAGCUUUAUGUCCUUAUUUUCUCUAUUGUUGAACGCAUUGUUUUCAUUUUGAUAAUUCAUACUUUC